GGUGGUGAAUUUGAUCUAAAGGUAAAUUCUGCCAGAGACCGAUAGCGCACAAGUAGAGUGAUCGAAAGAUGAAAAGCACUUGAAAAGAGAGUCAAACAGUACGUGAAAUUGUUGAAAGGAAGCGCUUGCAAUCAGACUCGUCUGUAGAAGCUCAGCCAUUCUUCGGGAUGGUGUAUUCUUCUAUCGACGGGCCAGCAUCAAUUUCGACGGCUGGAUAAAGAUUUUGGGAACGUAGCUCUUUUAGAGAGUGUUAUAGCCCGGAAUGUAAUGCAGCAGUUGAGACCGAGGUCCGCGCUUUUGCUAGGA
This 306-nucleotide ribosomal RNA is filed under the name Graphis scripta. RNAcentral's name for it is "partial large subunit ribosomal RNA". It matches the Rfam family "Eukaryotic large subunit ribosomal RNA", at positions 295 to 610 of the family's 3401-position model. The record is from RNAcentral. Lineage: Eukaryota; Fungi; Ascomycota; Lecanoromycetes; Ostropales; Graphidaceae.